RNAcentral lists this ribosomal RNA (252 nucleotides) under uncultured bacterium. Its description in RNAcentral is "partial 16S ribosomal RNA". It matches the Rfam family "Bacterial small subunit ribosomal RNA", at positions 524 to 776 of the family's 1533-position model. The record is from RNAcentral.
UACGAAGGGGGCUAGCGUUGCUCGGAAUCACUGGGCGUAAAGCGCACGUAGGCGGACUCUUAAGUCGGUGGUGAAAUCCUGGAGCUCAACUCCAGAACUGCCUUCGAUACUGAGAGUCUCGAGUCCGGGAGAGGUGAGUGGAACUGCGAGUGUAGAGGUGAAAUUCGUAGAUAUUCGCAAGAACACCAGUGGCGAAGGCGGCUCACUGGCCCGGUACUGACGCUGAGGUGCGAAAGCGUGGGAGCAAACAGG